Oreochromis niloticus (Nile tilapia) is the source of this 1562-nucleotide long non-coding RNA. RefSeq lists it as uncharacterized. NCBI's taxonomy places the organism in Eukaryota, Metazoa, Chordata, Actinopteri, Cichliformes, Cichlidae. The record is from RefSeq and is a predicted model, not a curated record. The transcript has 4 exons.
CAUCUCCACCUGUUCUUUCUGUGUUGUCCUUUGUUGGAUCAGUCUGUGUUGUGGUCCUACUGGUGUUACUGGUUCUGCUGGUGAGAGGAUGUGUUCACGGGAAACUUGAAGAUAAAGAAGAUGGAGACGAUGACAUUGACACCACAAACAGUUAUGAUACAUCACCAAAUCAACAACAACAUCCAUUCAAACGAACCAGAGAGACUGAUUCAGCUGUGAUCUACUCAGCAGUGAGAACUGAAGACGUCAGUUAUGGACAAACAACCAUCAGAACAAGGAGGCCCAGACUUUAAACCAGAGCCAGACGUCGUCUACUCUUCACUGAAGUAGUCCACCAGUCCAACCACUGACGUCCAGCUGCUGGUCUCUAACUGGUCCCCCCAGCACCUCAGACCAGAGUCCCUCUGACCAUCCAUCCAUCUUCUUAUGUGUAUCCAUGGCCAGAUUGUGGGGGCAGCAGCCAAAGCAAAGAAGCCCAGAACUCCCUCUCUGUCCUGGCUCCUCCUCAUUGUGGGCCAGUUUUGACCCUAUUUACCACCACAGUGAAUUUUAACUUGAACAAUCAGGAUGUGACUGUAGUGUAGACUUCAGUCCUUAAUUAAAGACAUUUAAGUAAAGUACUGUGUUACCUGUUAGGAAUUACAGCAAUUUUAUAGAUAGUCCUGCAUUCACAGAGGCAAAAAAGUAAUGGAACAACUUACUGAUAGGAGUUUCAUGGUCAGGUAAAGUCUGCUCCCUUGUUCCAUCGAUCCAUGUUGAAUGUAUAAUUUAUAGCUUUUCACUGUUUUUACUAUGUUCAGUGUGAGGUCUCAAGAGAUGUCAGUGCAAGUGACAAUGAACCCAUCAGAGAGAGCAAAACUGCAGGAGUGACCAAAUCAACAAUAUGAUGCAUCAUUAAACAGAAUGAAUCCACUGACCAGCUGAGCCACAUUGAAAGGCCCAGGAAAGUGCAUGAUGACAGAAUUAUUGUCAUGUUUAAGAAAAACAACUACACAACAUGAUUCCAAGUCAAAAACAGCAAGAGGAUGCAGGCGUGUCAUUGUCAAACUCUAUAAUCAAAUGCUUUCAACAAGGUACAAACCACUGUGCUGGUUCAGGAGAUGGUUACACAGAAGCUACAUUUAAAGAAAGUGUCCUCAUUCAACCAAUUAUGGACCUAAAUCCAAGUUUUUUCUUGGGCUCAGAUCACAAUACUGCUUAUUUUCUAUACAUACUUUCAUUUUACAGAAUCCAAUUAAAGUUCCAGUUGUUCUGUGUCCUCAGUAACAUCAUCACUUAUAUUGUAUUCAUGUUUUUUAGCUCUUGUUUCCACAGCAGGAGUUUAGUUUCUCAAAUAAACUUUUGUUCACAAAUGUUUUUUCUUGUGUGGGUCUGUGGGUUUCACAGAGGUGUCAGAUGAUUGUGGUUUGGUGGUGACUAACAAAUACACAUCUGUACUCUCUACAGAAAACUAAUAAACAUUAAACCACAACCACAGACCAGAAACAGCAGAAAGAUCAGUCAGUGGCUGCAGCACAGGAUGCAUCUGUUUGAUACUGAAGAGUUUUAUUUUAGUUUUUUUA